Long non-coding RNA from Oreochromis aureus, 1384 nucleotides. The record is from Ensembl. Lineage: Eukaryota; Metazoa; Chordata; Actinopteri; Cichliformes; Cichlidae.
GGCAUGUCCAAAAUACUCGUAUGAAAGCGUAUUUUGAGUGAUUUUAACUGUGUGAAUGCUGUCAGUAUUUGAUUUGAGUGACUCUGCGUGAUUUGUCUGAGAGACUGAAAAAGGGGGGUGUGUGAGAGGAAGGUGUGUGUGACUGAUGAUGUCAGGGGAGCACCCAGAGAAAUAGACAGAGUUAAAUUCUAAGAAGAUGAAGCGAAUGUGUGUGUGACUGAUGAUGUCAGGGGAGCACCCAGAGAAAUAGACAGAGUUAAAUUCUAAGAAGAUGAAGCGAAUGCAUGUGUUAAGGAAAAGUAAUAAAGUAAUAAAAUUAUAUUAAUUACAGGUUUUAGAAAAGAGACAGACUGAGAGAAAUAAAUACAGGAACUAACAAUUACAUUAAUGAAUUGAAAAUGCACGUACACAAACUGUUACAUGUGAAAUUAUUGUUGGAAAGUUUAAUAAAGAAAGCAGUUUACACUCCUUUAAUUUCCAGAACCAGUGUGUCCCCUAGGCCUGAUAACACUCUUGCCCAGUUGGCCACUGUAGUAGGCGGGCAUGGAAGGCUGGACAGCACAUGACGGGUAAGAUCCCACCUCGAAACCCUGGGACAACCUAAGGCAAGGCGCAGUCACGAUUGCUUGAACCUAAGUCCCGGAGUGACCUUGGAGUCACUGGAGGAGACGGGAUUUAACAGGUAAGGCCACUGGGCACAGGCGGAGGGGAAAUGUCAUUAACAAGGACCAGUGAUGAACCAGAGAGAGAAAAUACACCCUGUCAAAAGGAGUUUGAAACACUGCAAAAGAAACAUUUACAAGAUCACAAAGAUCAUAAAGAAACAUUUAUAAAAACCACACAUACAAACAGAAAAUGCACUAACCUUACAGAGAUAAGCUCAUGAAGAGUAAUGCAUAGAUAGUAAUUAAAACUUGGCUAAGAACACAAACAUAUGUAAUUAAAUCAGCCUGCUAAUUUCAUGAGGGUUAAAAUGGUGUGAAUGUUGAAGAAAAUACACUUAAAACACACUUGGAUAAAAUAGAGUUGUUGUGGAAUAACUCAAACGAAGCUGUAUGACAAGGGAGUGAGUUAUGGAAAAAACAAAAACAAAAGAGGAGUAAUUACUUAGGAGUGCUCUUGCACUGAUUUAUCAAAGUAAGUGAUUAGUAUAGAAAGAAAAUGAAAAUAAUUCAAUAAUGUGAUAAGGUUUAAACAUGUAUUCCUCUUGUUAAGUUGGCUGUUGAGUUGUGGGUUUAUGCAAAUUAGCUGGAGCAGAGACACUUCCUGUGUGUGUGUGUGUCGGAGGCUUUCUGUUCAGUUCAAGAGAGAUCGGGGCUGAUGAAGAGUAUUUGGAGAAAUAUAAUGGUAAAGUAUCAGGAUAUUUGAUUACGGUGGUCAGGUC